This 347-nucleotide unclassified non-coding RNA is filed under the name soil metagenome. RNAcentral's name for it is "partial contains 5.8S ribosomal RNA, internal transcribed spacer 2, and large subunit ribosomal RNA". The stretch from base 1 to 120 matches the Rfam family "5.8S ribosomal RNA", at positions 35 to 154 of the family's 154-position model. The record is from RNAcentral.
GAUGAAGAACGUAGCGAAAUGCGAUAAGUAAUGUGAAUUGCAGAAUUCAGUGAAUCAUCGAGUCUUUGAACGCACAUUGCGCCCCCUGGUAUUCCGGGGGGCAUGCCUGUCCGAGCGUCAUUGCUGCCCUCAAGCACGGCUUGUGUGUUGGGCCGUCGUCCCCCUCCUAGGGGACGGGCCCGAAAGGCAGCGGCGGCACCGCGUCCGGUCCUCGAGCGUAUGGGGCUUCGUCACCCGCUCCGUAGGCCCGGCCAGCGCUUGCCGACGACCAUCAAUCUCUUUCUCCAGGUUGACCUCGGAUCAGGUAGGGAUACCCGCUGAACUUAAGCAUAUCAAUAAGCGGAGGA